Phascolarctos cinereus (koala) is the source of this 3297-nucleotide long non-coding RNA. NCBI's taxonomy places the organism in Eukaryota, Metazoa, Chordata, Mammalia, Diprotodontia, Phascolarctidae. The record is from Ensembl.
AUGCUUCCACACAAAAGUUUCAAGAGUCAUGCAUCAUUGCCUCAGAGUAACUAUCUACAUUACCCGCGGAAGGAGAGUGAAAAGGCCGUCUCUCAUGUCAAUCUUAUAUAUACACAGUCAGGCCAACUGAAAUUCCCUUCUGAAAGUCAAGUCUGUGAAGGUUCCCAUUCAACUGAGAUUCCUAUUCCUCAGGGAAAAGGUGCCAUGUGGCCUUCACCAUCAGAUCAUGAUAAAUGUACCCAUGGGAGCUUAGCCUGUGAAGGUACACAACAAACUGAGACACCCUCAACCCACGGAAAAGCUGCCAUCCAGCGGAUACCAUCAAGUCAAGGGAAAUUCACUAAUGAGGGUCCAGGCUAUGAAAACUCACAGUCCACUGAUUCUCCGAGCCUUCCCCACGGAAAAGCUACAGUCUGGCCCCCACCACCAAGCCGAGGAAACUUCUGGGAAGGCUCACAUCAAUCUGAGAGUGUUAUGCCUCGUGCAAAAGCCAUCAUUCAGAAGAUACCAUUAGGUAGAGGGAAAUGUAGUAGUGAGAAUAAAACCUGGGAAGACUCACAACCAAGUCAGAUUACCCUCUCCCAUGGAAAAGCUGGUGUCCGUCACCUAUCACUGGAGAGGGGGAAAUUCAGCCGUGAAAGUACAACGUGGGAAGGAUCCCAACCAAAUGAGACUCCACUCCCUCAGGGAAAAGCUGCCAUUCAGCACACACCAUUAAACCAAGGGAAAUUUACAUCUGAGAACACAGUCUGGGAAGGUGCACAACCACAUGAGAUCUCACUCUCCCAUGGAAAACCUGCUGACCAGCACCCAUCAUUGAUCCGAGGAAAGUUCAUCCAUGAGAAUCCAAUGUGGGGAACAUCAAAACCACCUGAGAUUCCCCUGUCCCAUGGGAAACCUAAUAUGCAGUUCCCACCAUUGGCUAGAGGAAAACUCAUUCGUGACAGUACAUUGUGGGAAGGUUCACAGCCAGCUAAGACAACCCUAACUCGUAGAAAAGCUGCACUCUGGCCCCCACCAUCAAACAGAAGUAAAUUCUCCUAUGAAAGUCCAACAGGUUCACAUUCAACUGAGGUUUUCCAUUACCAUGGGAAAUCUAUUGUUUGGCCCCCUCCUCCAAGUCGAGGAAAACUCCUCAUUGAGAAUCCAGGGUGGAAAAGAACACAGAUAGGUGAGACCCCCAUCUCUUAUAGAAAAAACACAGUACAACCUCCAGCAUCAGGUCGAGGGAAAUUCACAAAUGAUCGUCCAGUCUGGAAAGGUUCACAAUCAUCUGAGACUUCCCAGCCUCCUAGAAAAGCUGUUGUUUGGCCCCCACGUUUAGGCCAAGAGAAAUUCAGUAGUAAGAGUUCAGGGAGGGAGGAUUCACAACCAAGUAAGACUUCCCAGCCCUCAGGAAAAAUUUCUGCUUGGCCCCCACCAUCAGGUCAAGGGAAGUUCAACUGUGAGGAUCCUGAUUGGGAAGGUCCACAACCAACUGAGACUCCCCAUCCUCAUGGAAAAGCAACAGUCACACCCCUACCUUCAAGCCGAAGAAAAUUUACAUCUGAGAACUCGGGCCAUGAGAGUUCACAACCAGUUGAAAUUAUCCUCUCUCAUAAAAAGCCUAUAAUCUGGCCCCCACCAUCAAACCGAGGGAAAUUCAACUGGGAGAAUGUAGCUAGUGAAGGUUCAAAACCAAUCACAGCUUCAAAUGUCCAAGGAAAGUCUACCACCCUCCUAUCAUCAUUAGGCCGAGGAAAAUCAUCCAAUGACCAUUCCAUGCAGGAAGGCUCACAAUCAGGUGAAACUCCCCUUACUGGAAAAAAUGUAAGAAGUUCCUCAUUAGGCAGAGAGAAAUUCACCUGUGAUAGUCCAGAGCGGAAAAGUUCACAAAGUGUUGGGGCUACCUAUCCUUUUGGGAAAACUGACAACAAACGUCCUCAAUUAGGCAGAGGAAAAUUACUUUUUGAGAAACUUCUAAGGGAAGGUUCACAAACAUCUGAAACUCUUCAUGGAAAAUCUACCCUCCAACACUCACCGUCCUAUCUAGAGAAAUUUACACAUGGUAAAUUGCUUUGGGAAAGUUCACAAGUAGCUGAGACUUCCUUAACUUUUAGAAAAGCUACUGGCAAUCGUUCCCCAUCAUGUCUAGGGAAAUUUACUUAUGAUAAAUCAGUUUGGGAAGGUUCCAAACCUACUGAAAUUCCACUCCGUAGUGGAAAAGGAACUGUCUGGCCCCCACCAGCAGGCCAAGGAAAAUUGACGUGUGAAGUUCCAUUAUGGGAGGGCUCAGAAUCACCAGAGACUUCCCAUUCCUUUGGAAAAACUGCCACCCAAGGGAAUUUCACCUGUGAAAGUUCAGGCAAGGAAGGUUCACAAAAUGCUGAGAUAUCCUACCCCUUUGGAAAACCAGCCAUUCGACUCCCACAGUCAGAGAAAGGGAAGUUAACUUAUGAUAAUCCUGAAUGUGACCGGGCACAACCAACUGAGACUUCUCUCCCUCAUGGAAAAACUAUCAUUCAACAAACAUCAUCUUGCAGUGGGAAAUUUACCUAUGAGAACCAAGCCUGGGAAGAGGCACAAUCAGAUAAGAAUCGCAUCUCCAACAGAAAAACAGCAAGCUGGCCCCCACCAGCAGGGAGAGGAAAAUUCUCCUGUGACAAUUCAGGCUGGGAUGAUUCCCAAGCAGUUGGUAAUACCUAUCCUCAUGUAAAAAUGACUCUCCAUCCCCAACCAGUAGGUAUAGGGAAAUGCACAAAUGACAACCUAGGCUGGGAAGGUUCACAGCCAGCUGAAUCUCCCCUUCCCCAUGGAAAAUCUGCUGUCCAGCCCAUACCAGCAGGACGAGGGAAAUUCACCUGUAAGAGUUCAGUCUGGGAGAAUUCCCAGUCAACCUAUAAUCCUCCUUCUCAUGGAAAAGUUGGAGUUCAGCACUCAGCAUUGGUCCAAGGAAAAUUCCGCAGUGAAAGUGCAAUCUGGGUAAACUCACAACAACCUGAGGCUCCUCCACUUCAUGGAAAAGCUGCCGUUUGGCCCCCACAAUCGUCACAUAAGAAACUCACUUCUGGUAGUCCAGUCUGGGAAGGUCCACAACCAGCUGAGACACCUCACCCUUUUGGAAAAGUUGCUUUGCAGGCUCUACCUUCAGAUGGGAGGAAAUUUGCCUGUGAACAUACAGCUUGGGAAAGCUCACCAGUAGCAGAAGCCCUUCUAUCACAAGGAAAAUCUGCCUUGCGGCCUAUACCAUCAAGCCAAAAGAAAUUGUCCAGUGAGAUUCAAGUCUGGGAAAGCCUUCCAUCCACAAAAGCAUUCUAA